This 85-nucleotide transfer RNA is filed under the name Felis catus (domestic cat). It matches the Rfam family "tRNA". Rfam says of the family: Transfer RNA (tRNA) molecules are approximately 80 nucleotides in length. Their secondary structure includes four short double-helical elements and three loops (D, anti-codon, and T loops). Further hydrogen bonds mediate the characteristic L-shaped molecular structure. tRNAs have two regions of fundamental functional importance: the anti-codon, which is responsible for specific mRNA codon recognition, and the 3' end, to which the tRNAs corresponding amino acid is attached (by aminoacyl-tRNA synthetases). tRNAs cope with the degeneracy of the genetic code in two manners: having more than one tRNA (with a specific anti-codon) for a particular amino acid; and 'wobble' base-pairing, i.e. permitting non-standard base-pairing at the 3rd anti-codon position. Lineage: Eukaryota; Metazoa; Chordata; Mammalia; Carnivora; Felidae. The record is from Rfam by way of RNAcentral. RNAcentral also lists the same sequence under 2 other names.
GCCUGGGUGGCUCAGUCGACUGAGUGUCUGACUUCGGCUCAGGUCAUGAUCUCGCGGUUCGUGGGUUCGAGCCCCGCGUCGGGCU